AAAUCAAGAAAGGAAACUCGAACUCCAGAAUAAAUUAAGUCCCCAGUAGUCCUAUGAAUCGUUUCUUAUUGAAUUUUGCACAGAACCUCCAAACUUGACACCAAUUCUGCUGAUACCUUUACCUUAAUUGGGCAAACAUUUCUGUCAACAAAAACUUCAACUUUCCCAUAGAAGCUGACACCAAGUUCACCAAAUUCAUUCAUAUGGCUAGGAAUUUAAACUUUCUAUUACAAAAAAGGCAAAUUAAUAAUAAUAUACCCACUUAACCUAAUAUGCGCAAAACUUAAGAAAGAAACCCUACACCCAAAUACCUCAAAAGGGUUUAAACAGCACAAGAAAAUGCAUAAAUUGUGAAGCGCAUGAAUUCAUAUAAUAAUCAAAGAUUUUCAAAUAACAUAUAAAAGAGUUAUACAGAGAUUUACAACUAGAUUGAGAUCAAGUUUACAAUUUAAAGAAGAAGAAAAAAACUUGAAAUUUUAAAGAUUUUGAAGCUUACCAACAACUUUUGAUGAUCCUUCUGAUCCCAUUUCUGGCAGCAUCUAAAACAGCAAAUUAAAGGUUUUUGAGUUGAAAAACCAAAAGGGUAUUCCUAAAAAGAGUAAGAAAGAGGCAACGAGAGAGAGAGAGAGAUAGAGGNNNN
Molecule: long non-coding RNA, 640 nt
Filed under: Nicotiana benthamiana
Lineage: Eukaryota; Viridiplantae; Streptophyta; Magnoliopsida; Solanales; Solanaceae
Description: long non-coding RNA (NBEN_LNC031350)
Source: RNAcentral